AUUGAACGCUGGCGGCAGGCCUAACACAUGCAAGUCGAGCGGAUGAAGGGAGCUUGCUCCUGGAUUCAGCGGCGGACGGGUGAGUAAUGCCUAGGAAUCUGCCUGGUAGUGGGGGAUAACGUCCGGAAACGGGCGCUAAUACCGCAUACGUCCUGAGGGAGAAAGUGGGGGAUCUUCGGACCUCACGCUAUCAGAUGAGCCUAGGUCGGAUUAGCUAGUUGGUGGGGUAAAGGCCUACCAAGGCGACGAUCCGUAACUGGUCUGAGAGGAUGAUCAGUCACACUGAAACUGAGACACGGUCCAGACUCCUACAGGAGGCAGCAGUGGGGAAUAUUGGACAAUGGGCGAAAGCCUGAUCCAGCCAUGCCGCGUGUGUGAAGAAGGUCUUCGGAUUGUAAAGCACUUUAAGUUGGGAGGAAGGGCAGUAAGUUAAUACCUUGCUGUUUUGACGUUACCAACAGAAUAAGCACCGGCUAACUUCGUG
RNAcentral lists this ribosomal RNA (484 nucleotides) under uncultured bacterium. Its description in RNAcentral is "partial 16S ribosomal RNA". It matches the Rfam family "Bacterial small subunit ribosomal RNA", at positions 30 to 507 of the family's 1533-position model. The record is from RNAcentral.